CACUUCAAACUUCUUCAGUGGCGAGUUGCCUGAGUCCUUGUUCCAGCUUCCCUUGCUACAAGUGCUGAAUCUUGAUCACAACAAUCUUACCGGUCUGAUUCCUGCAAGUGUUGGUGAGUUGAAAGAGCUUUCAGAUCUGACCUUGUCUCAUAAUGACUUGUCUGGUCCCAUCCCUGAGUCCAUUGGUAACUGCAGUAAGCUGGAGUAUCUGUACUUGCACAAGAACAAGCUUAAUGGUUCGUUACCGGAAAGUCUCAACCUGCUCAAGAAUCUCAGCGAAGUGUUUGUCAGCAACAACAGCCUUGGAGGGAGGAUUCGUUUCGGUUCAAGCAACUGCAAGAAGUUGGUGGCUUUGGAACUCUCCUACAAUCAUUUCGAAGGUGGUGUUCCUCCUGAACUUGGCAACUGCAGUAACCUUGACUCUUUGGUCAUCAUCGGAUGUAACUUGACAGGUAGCAUUCCAUCAUCAUUGGGUAUGUUAAGAAAGGUUACGCUUAUUAACCUCGGCGACAAUCGUCUCUCUGGUAAUAUCCCUCAUGAGCUUGGGAACUGCAGCAGCUUACAUACUUUGAAGCUGAACGGCAACCAGCUCCAAGGCGAGAUACCCGCUGCAUUGGGUAACCUAAAGAAGCUACAAAGUCUGGAGCUUUUCGAGAAUAAGCUGUCUGGUGAGAUUCCUAUCAGCGUAUGGAAGAUUCAGAGUCUGACACAGAUGGUCGUUCACAACAACACUCUCACCGGAGAACUACCAGCUGAAGUUACUGAGCUGAAGAAUCUUAAGAAGCUUUUGAUGUUUAACAACAGCUUUCAUGGAGGGAUACCGAUGAGUUUAGGUGUGAAUAGAAGCUUAGAGGAGGUGGAUCUAAUUGGUAACAGUUUUACAGGAGAGAUACCUCCCAAUCUCUGCCAUGGACAGAAGUUGAGGUUUUUUAACUUGGGUUCUAAUCAGCUUCAUGGUAGCAUACCACCCUCUGUUGGUCAGUGUAAGACCCUUGAGAGAAUCUGGCUUGGAGGAAACAAGCUUUCUGGUGUUCUUCCUGAGUUUCCUGACACACAUAGUCUUGAGUUUGUGGAACUCAAAGGCAACAACAUUGAAGGAUCCAUCCCUCGCAGCUUGGGAAGCUGCAAGAAUCUCCUAACAGUUGACCUGUCUCAAAACAAACUCACUGGUUUGAUACCCCCAGAACUGGGAAAUCUGCAAAACCUCGGACUGUUGAAUCUUUCACAUAACCACCUGGAAGGUCCUCUGCCAUCUCAGCUAUCUAGCUGUGUGGGAAUACUGGAGUUUGAUGUCGGAUCCAACUCACUGAACGGUUCUGUUCCUUCGAGUUUCAGAAGCUGGAAAAGCUUGACUACUUUGGUUCUCAGCCAUAAUCGGUUUUCAGGAGCCAUUCCACCGUUCUUGGCCGAGUUUGGCCGCCUAAUAGAUCUCCAGGUAGCUACAAAUGCUUUUAAAGGUGAGAUUCCUUCCUCUCUUGGCUUGUUAAAGCACCUGAACAGCUUAGACCUCAGUGGAAACGGAUUCACCGGCGAGAUCCCAGCCUUUCUGGUAGGUCUUGUUGAUCUCGUACGGCUCAACAUAUCCAACAAUAAGUUGACAGGGAACUUAUCCGUUCUUCAGAGUCGUAGUUUCUUUCAGCUUGACGUCUCGAACAAUCAGCUCACCGGUCCAAUACCGGAAAAGCUGAUGAAUAGUUCAUCAGUAUUUACUGGAAACCCAAGCCUCUGCAUUCAACCUUCUCACUCAGUAAGUGCAGUGAUCCGUAAAGAGUUUAAAACUUGCAAAGGUCAAGCCAAACUUAGCACCUGGAUGAUCGCCAUUAUAGCAGUUGGUUCCUUUCUAUCUGCAUUGGCUUUACUUUUUGCUUUAGUUUUGGUUUUUACCUGCUGCAAAAGAGGAGUCAAGACAGAAGAUACUCCUGUCCUCGACGAGGAAGAAGGUCUUUCCUUACUGCUUAACAAAGUUCUCACAGCCACUGACAAUCUAGACGACAAGUACAUCAUUGGAAGAGGAGCUCAUGGAGUUGUUUACAAAGCCUCAUUAGCCCCAGGCGAAGAAUACGCCGUGAAGAAACUCAUCUUCGCAGAAAGCGUACGUGCAAACCAGAAUAUGAAGAGAGAGAUCGAGACGAUCGGGCAAGUUAGGCAUAGAAACCUCGUUCGGUUGGAAAGGUUUUGGAUUAUGAAAGACAAUGGCCUGAUGCUGUACAAGUACAUGCCCAAUGGAAGCUUACACGACGUUCUGCACAGAGGCAAUAAUCAAGGAGAAACAGGUCUUGACUGGUCUGCACGGUUCAACAUAGCUCUUGGGAUUGCACACGGGCUAGAGUAUCUACACCAUGACUGUCAUCCACCAAUCAUCCACCGUGACAUCAAACCAGAGAACAUACUUAUGGACUCGGAGAUGGAGCCUCACAUUGGAGAUUUCGGAUUGGCUAGGAUUCUUGAUGACUCGACUAUUUCAACAGCAACCAUCACAGGCACCACUGGUUACAUUGCACCAGGUACACUUUACUUCUCAGCAUUAACAUUAAUUUAACAUUUUGUUUUACUGUUGGGUUUAAUCAUUGCUGCUAUCAAAACAGAAAAUGCGUACAAGACGGUGAGAUGCAAGGAAUCAGAUGUUUAUAGUUAUGGAGUUGUUUUGCUUGAGCUGAUAACGGGAAAGAGAGCAGUGGACAGAUCUUUCCCUGAGGAGACUGAUAUCGUGAGCUGGGUUAGAUCUGUGUUAAGCAGCUACGAGGAUGAAGAGGAUUAUACUGUUAGUCCAAUCGUUGAUCCAAGGCUUGUGGAUGAGCUUCUAGAUACACAGGUUAGAGAACAGGCAAUUCUAGUUACAGACUUGGCACUUGUGUGUACGGACAAAAGGCCAGGGAACAGACCGUCCAUGAGAGAUGUGGUGAAAGAGUUGACUGAUGUGAAAGAUCUUGUAAGAAGCACUUCUGGUUCAGUUCAAUAGUUUCUGUAUUUUACAGGUUUAUAGUAGCAGUAUGAGUGGAGAGACAUGUAUACUGAUAUGAUAUGAUAUGUUAUUAAGUAGCAGAAACAUCUAAGAUCUAAGAAACAUGUAUGAAGUACUGUAUUAAUUAUUGCGUAAGCCAAAUUGUUGGGAGUAAUAGAUUACAAACAAAGAGGCUUAUACACAUUUUCCUAUUUCAAUACGUUUUAGCCGGUGCUACCAGAUAGCUCACCAGAGAGAACUAUCAUAGAAUGUGGAACCUGUUUGUGUGUGCAAUGAAUGUUUAGAUCCCUGGAGCCUUACGCAUUUGCCUUAGGCUGAAUAUAAAACUGAAAUGCUUAGAUGAUGCUGGAAUGUUUAUGGAUGUGUAAGUGUCUCAUGCUUUUGCUUAAUGUCAUGUUUGUCUUGUUUCUUGGUAUCCAAGAAAUGUGUGUUCUUUAGGGGUCUAAGUUUCUUGAUGACAAUCGUUAAACUUGAACAUUUCAUUUUCUAGUUUUUCCCGUAGCUAUUUGGAAUAUAAACUGAAUUUAGAUUGUCACGUUGGGGGAGUUUAGGGCUUUAAUCAUACUCUUUAAGUGAUUCUUAUCGACUUUGAGACUGUUUUCGCAAUUUGAAGAGCUUGUUGCAAACUUUUAACCAAAAUCGAAUCAAUCAAACCAAUCCGAGCCACCCGAACCCAAACCAACCCAAACUAACGUAUAUGGGGCGAAGCAGUUCGACAUUCAACCUAUGUCAUCAACUACUGACGAGAGCUCUUAAGAACAAGACGCCUUAUGAAAGCUUGCGACUGAAGAAACCAAACCUAAAUCAUAUAAGGGUUUUCGCGUGCUUAGCAUAUGCAAAGAUAGACAGUGCAAUGCUCAAGAAGUUAGACGAUAGAUCGUUGGUCUUGGUUCAUCUCGGAACAGAACCAGCUUCCAAGGCUUAUAGGCUCUACAAUCCGGAUACACGAAGAAUUGUAGUAAACUGUGACGUUGUGUUCGAUGAGAAAAAAGGUUGGAACUGGAACAAAACAACUGGGACUACACGUGAUCCAGGUAUGUUCCAAAUGAAGUGGGGAGAAGUCAUUGAUGCAGGGGAAGGACCGGUUGUGAUCAACGCUGAUAAUGAUCAACAACAAGAGGACAAGGACCAUCACAAUGAACAAGACGAAGAUCAUAAUCAAGAGAAUGACAUUGAUCAAGACGCUCAACCUCAACUUCAACAACCAAUACAACAACCAAUACGACAAUCAACACGACAGAGCAACAAACCUCGGUAUCUAGACGACUAUGUUCUACAAGCUGAACUAGACAUCGAGAGGCUCUUACUAUCCAUAAACGACGAACCAAGGAACUACCAAGAAGCAAAGGGUUGGUCAAAGUGGACUGAUGCUUGCGGAGGAGAGAUAGAUUCAAUGAACAAGAACAAGACAUGGUAUCUCGUUGAUAGACCGAUUGGAGCAAAGGUAAUUGGUCUCAAGUGAAUUUUCAAAAUCAAAAGGAAUGCUGUCGGUACUAUCAAGAAGUUUAAAGCAAAGCUUGUAGCUAAAGGUUACAUACAAGAAUCAGGCCUCGACUAUGAUGAAGUUUUUGCGCCGGUUGCGAGACUUGAAACCAUACGGCUUCUAAGUGCUCUAGAAGCAUCACACGGUUGGCAAAUUCAUCACUUAGACGUAAAGACAGCUUUCUUAUACGGUGAACUAAAGGAAGACGUCUACGUCGAACAGCCCGAGUGUUUUGAAGCUAAAGGCAGAGAACAGAAGGUUUAUAAGCUGUCAAAAGCCUUGUACGGGUUAAAUCAAGCUCCACGAGCUUGGAACACUAAGCUGGAUCAAGUGUUAAAAGGAAUGAAGUUCAGUCGAUGCACAAAGGAGAACGCAGUGUAUCACAAAGAAGAAAAAUAUGUGAUCCUUAUCGUUGCGAUAUAUGUCGACGAUCUAUUCAUAACCGACAACAACAUCAACGCAAUAAGUGAGUUCAAAAGAGGGAUGUCAUCAAAGUUUGAGAUGUCUGACCUAAGUAAACUCACAUAAUAUCUUGGGAUAGAAGUUCAUCAAGGUAUUGAUGGGAUUGAGCUUAAACAAGAAGCAUACGCAAGAAAAGUUCUUAAAGAAGUUGGCUUAGGCCCUGUUCGUUUCCUCACCCAGGUGAUCCAUCUGGGUGAAGAUGCAAAUUGAUGUUCGUUUUGUGCAUUAUAAUGCUACAUCCAGAUGGAUCACCCAGCUAAACUCAUCUCAAAUUCUCAUCCAAAUGAAGGUGAGUCUUGAUGGUGCAUCUAGAUGCAGAUGCAUCUAGUUCAGUCCAAAAUAAUAAAUGACAAAAAUGACCUUUUAAAAUCAAAAUAUUAUUUUCAAACCGUAAAUUCUAUUUUUUUUCAUAUACAUUUUUCCGUUAUAACAAAAAAUGCAUUUUCUCGCAAAAAUUAAAAAACACACUUUCCCGCCAAAACCGCAAGGUGCGUUUUUCCGCAAAAAAAACAUAAAACACACAUUUUCAUAAAAACACAUUUUCGGCUAAACCAGUAAAACCACAAUUUUCGACCAAAACCGAAAAAAUGCAUUUUCCCGCCAAAACCCAAAAAACACAUAUUCCCGCCAAAACUCCAAAAAGCAUUUUCCGGCCAAAACCAUAAAAAGCAUUUUCUCGCCAAAACCGGAAAACGCAAUUUCCCACCAAAACCGAAAAAAACGCAUUUUCUCGCCAAAACCGAAAAACAUAAUUUUCCUGCCAAAACCGGAAAACAGAAUUUUCCCGCCAAAACCGGAAAAACGCAUUUUGUCGCUAAAACUGAAAAACACAAUUUUACAACCAAAACCGGAAAAUGAAAUUUCCCCGCCAAAACUGAAAAACACAUUUUUCCGCCAAAUCCAGAAAAAAUGCAUUUCCCGUCAAAACCGAAAAACGCAUUUUUCCGCCAAAACCGGAAAAACGCAUUUUCCGCCAAAACCGUAAAAACGCAUUUUUCCGCCAAAACCAGAAAAAUGUAUUUUCCCGCCAAAAACCGAAAAAUGCAUUUUCCCGCCAAAACCGGAAAAAUGUAUUUUUCCGCCAAAACCGGAAAAAUGCAUUUUUCCGCCAAAACCGAAAAAAUGUAUUUUCCCGCCAAAACCGGAAAAAGGCAUUUCCCGCCAAAACCGGAAAAAUGCAUUUUCCCGCCAAAACCGGAAAAACGCAUUUUCCCGCCAAAACCGAAAAAUGUAUUUUUCCGCCAAAACCGCAAAAAUGCUUUUCCCGCCAAAAUCGCGAAAAAACGUUUCCCGCAAAAUCGUGAAAAAACAACUUUUCUUGUCAAUAACACUUUUUCCGCUAAAUCUUCAAAAACACCUUUUCCGUCCAAACUGCAGAAACGUAUUUUUUCGCCACACCCAUAAAACGUAUUUUUCCGCCAAAACCAUAUAAUGCACUUUUUCGCGAAAAACACAUAUUUUCUCAAAAACCGCAAAAAUAUUUUUGGCCAAAACCAUUAAAAUGCUAUUAUUCCACCGAAACGUAAAAAAAUAUAUUUUUGUCAUUGUAUUAACAAGUCCACCUGGAUGCAAAUGAAAGUUAAAAAAUGAAAAGCAAACAAAAAUAGUUGCAUUCAGAUGAUUCAUCUAGAUGCAUGAACAAAAUGAAAAAACGAACAACACCCAGAUGAAGCAUCUGGAUAAGACAUCUAGAUGGACCAUCUGGAUGCAUCUUCCAGAUGUACAAACGAACAGGACCUUAGAAACAUGUAAUGCGACCAAGAUACCAAUGGAGUUUGGUCUUAAGGUUUCAAAAGCCGAAGAAGAAGAAUAGAUUGAAGCAACGCAAUAUAGAAGAAACGUGGGAUGCCUACGUUACUUGCUUCACACACUACCGGAUUUAGCAUUCUCGGUCAGUGUGGCAAGUCCCUACAUGCAAAGGCCUCGUAAGUCACAUGGCGACAUCAUGAAGCAAAUCAUGCAGUAUCUUGAUAGCUGUCACAACAUAGACCAAGACGAUGGUAGAAGCACCACGGGUCACAUGUUUUAUUUUGGAACUUCACCGAUUACUUGGUGUUCACAAAAACAGAACACAGUUGCACUCUCAUCGUGCGAGACAGAGUUUAUGGCCGCAACUGAAGCAGCACGUCAGGCCAUAUGGCUCCAAGACCUUCUAAGCGAGAUCACGGGUUGGAAGGUAGAGAGAAUUCUCAUCAAGAUUGAUAGCAAGUCGGCUAUAGAGCUCACCAAGAACCCUGUCUUUCACGGCAAGAGCAAGCACAUUCAUAAACACUACCAUUUUAUUCGAGAAUGUAUUGAAAGAGAGCUCGUCGACGUGAGCACGUACCGGGAACGUUACAAAAAGCCGACAUCCUCACAAAAGCUUUGGCAAUGAUUAAGUUCGUUGAGAUGAGAUACUUGAUAGGAGUUCAAAACUUGUGGACUCAAAGCUCAAGAGAGAGAUUGUUGGGUAAGCUUUGAUAGCUUGAAGCUCAAGAUAUCCUUUGUCAAGUUGGAUAAGGAUAAGAUAAGCUUAGAUAUAUACCUAGUAGUAUUAGGAGUUAUUUAUAACUAUUAAGAAAAGGAAAUCUACUCUAAUAUAUAUACAUACGGAGAUUGUGGUAUUGAUAUAGUCAUAUAGAGGAGUAUUUUAGUUUUGAGCAUAUUUUCUAAAGCAUUCAAUAAAGAGAGCAAGUUCUUUAUAUUCUUUGUGUGUGUUCGAGCUACUUUAAACAAAUCCGAAUCUAACAACAUGGUCCGCACAUGUUUGUACACAUAGGAGGUUUUCAAGUUUGUUUGUUGUUUCGGCAUUAUUGCUCAUACUGUCAUACAUGUUUCAACAAUUUAAUUAAUUAUAAAAUGUAAAUUAAAAUUUAGAUAUAGAAAAGAUACAAUAUACCUAAGACUAUAAUCAGCUAGUUAAUAUUUUGUCAAAUUAUUUAAACCUGCGUUCCAAAAAAAAAAAACUAAAGUAACUACUGUAUAUAGGAAGAAAUGUCAAAAGAAAAUUAACACAAAAACGUGGGAAAUGCGAAAUAAAUUAGAAACUAGAUUUUGACCCGUGCAACCGCACGAGUGUUUGUUUUCACUUUUCUAUACAUAAAUUAUUAUUUUAGAACAUAAGUGGUAUAUAUUUUUAAUGUUAAUCAUAUACUUAAAUAUUUAUAUAACUAUUUCAAAUACAAUAAUUUUAUAAUUUACAUGUUAUAAUUAAUUAAUUGUUUAAACCUUAUGUAUUUACCACUUCUUAUUAUAUAUUUAUCUUAUUGUAUUUGCAUUUAGUUAUUAAGCAAAUUAAUAUAUUCAUGAGAAAAUAUAUUUAAAAAAUAUUUUGUAUUUAAUUUAUGCUAAAUUAUAACCUUUUCUUCCAAUGCUGGAUUUCUUUUUACCAAUAUUUUUUAUGCUUAUUCGUUUUCGAUAAUAUAUUAUUGUAUAUAAAAAAAUCUACGAUAUGUUAAUUUUUAGACAUGUACUACAUAUUUUUCUAAUUCUUAAGCCAUUUUGUCAUCGUAUUAUAUUCUAACAAAAAUAGUUUAUGUUUAUGAAAAUAAAAUUUACUAAUUUAAUAUAAUUUUAUCAUAUUUAGUUUAAUAUAAUAAUUAUGGUUUAACAUGAUAAUUAUAAAGUAGAUAAAAAUAAGAUUUAUAUUUAAAAUGAAAAGAUAUCAAAAGAUAUUAUGAUUAAAAUAUUUCAAAAAUUCUAUUUAUUAUUAGUAUGAACUAAAAUGUAAUAUGAAUAUCUAUGAAUAGGUUUAUUAGGUCUAUUUUUAAAAAAAUCGCACAUGAAUGAAGGUUGUGGUUUGUUUUAAUAUAUAAGAUUUAUAUUUAAAAUGAAAAGAUAUCAAAAGAUAUUAUGAUUAAAAUAUUUCAAAAAUUCUAUUUAUUAUUAGUAUGAACUAAAAUGUAAUAUGAAUAUCUAUGAAUAGGUUUAUUAGGUCUAUUUUUAAAAAAAUCGCACAUGAAUGAAGGUUGUGGUUUGUUUUAAUAUAUAAGAUACCGAUAAAGAAGAGGAAAGGGAAGAUGACAGUCCCCGGUGACUCGGUGAGGAAACAGCGUUGAAAUGGCGAAGUCGUAAAGGUAAGUUCACAAAAAAAACGCGCUUUUACAAAACUCUAGUCUCUUAAAUAAUGCCAUUGCCGUAGAUUCGGAUCACAUAUUCUUAUUCAGUCCCCUUCAAAAUCAAGUUCUCACCUUUGGUCUCUUUCUCGUUCUGGGUUCAGUGCUGGUGAGCUGUGAGAGUUUCAAGUUCUCACCUUUUUCUCUUUCGCAUUCUGGGUUCAGGGUUAGUGAGGUGGGAGAGUUUCAAGUUUUCAGUCCCGAUACGUCUUUUGAGAGAUUUAAACACAGAUGAUGAUUCUAGGGUUAGUGGAAAUUACCCUCCUUUGCUCUCUUUUUGUCUCUUUCCGUUUAGACUCUGUCUCCUCUCUAAACUCGGAUGGUUUGGCUUUACUUUCGCUUCUCAGCCACUUUGACAAAGUACCACCUCAAGUCAAUUCCACGUGGAAGGAGAACACAUCUGAAACCACUCCGUGUAAUAACUGGUUUGGUGUCACUUGUGAUGGUUCUCUUAACGUCGAGACUCUUAAUCUGAGUACAUCUGGUGUUUCAGGGCAACUAGGUUCCGAAAUUGGAGAGCUUAAGAGCUUGAUCACUCUGGAUCUGAGUAACAAUAGUUUAUCUGGUCCGUUGCCUUCCAGUUUAGGAAACUGUACUUCACUUCAGUAUUUGGAUUUGUCUGAAAAUGGGUUUUCCGGAGAGAUUCCAGAUAAUUUUGGCAGCUUGAAGAAUUUGACUUAUCUGUAUCUCACUUCAAACUUCUUCAGUGGCGAGUUGCCUGAGUCCUUGUUCCAGCUUUCCUUGCUACAAGUGCUGAAUCUUGAUACAACAAUCUUACCGGUCUGAUUCCUGCAAGUGUUGGUGGGUUGAAAGAGCUUUCAGAUCUGACCUUGUCUCAUAAUGACUUGUCUGGUCCCAUCCCUGAGUCCAUUGGGAACUGCAGUAAGCUGGAGUAUCUGUACUUGCACAAGAACAAGCUUAAUGGUUCGUUACCGGAAAGUCUCAACCUGCUCAAGAAUCUCAGUGAAGUGUUUGUCA
Molecule: long non-coding RNA, 9979 nt
Filed under: Brassica napus (rape)
Lineage: Eukaryota; Viridiplantae; Streptophyta; Magnoliopsida; Brassicales; Brassicaceae
Description: long non-coding RNA (BNAP_LNC004982)
Source: RNAcentral